CAAGGAAUUUUCCGCAAUGGGGGAAACCCUGACGGAGCAACGCCGCGUGCGGGAUGACGCUUUUCGGAGUGUAAACCGCUUUUCUGGGGGAUGAUGGAGGACAGUACCCGAGGAAGAAGGCCCGGCUAACUACGUGCCAGCAGCCGCGGUAAUACGUAGGGGCCGAGCGUUGUCCGGAGUUAUUGGGCGUAAAGCGCGCGCAGGCGGCUUCGCGCGCCCGACGUGAAAGCCCCCGGCUUAACCGGGGAGAGUCGUUGGGGACGGCGGGGCUUGAGGGCGGGAGAGGUCGGUGGAAUUCCCGGUGUAGUGGUGAAAUGCGUAGAGAUCGGGAGGAACACCUGUGGCGAAGGCGGCCGACUGGGCCGACCCUGACGCUGAGGCGCGAAGGCGUGGGGAGCGAACGGGAUUAGAUACCCGGUAGUCCACGCAGUAAACGAUGCAGACUAGGCGUGGGUGGACUUGACCCCAUCCGUGCCGGAGCUAACGCGGGAAGUCUGCCGCCUGGGGAGUACGGCCGCAAGGCU
This 524-nucleotide ribosomal RNA is filed under the name uncultured Chloroflexota bacterium. RNAcentral describes it as "bacterial SSU rRNA". It matches the Rfam family "Bacterial small subunit ribosomal RNA", at positions 355 to 895 of the family's 1533-position model. The record is from RNAcentral. Lineage: Bacteria; Bacillati; Chloroflexota.